Molecule: non-coding RNA, 45 nt
Organism: Schistosoma mansoni
Lineage: Eukaryota; Metazoa; Platyhelminthes; Trematoda; Strigeidida; Schistosomatidae
Source: Rfam
AUCCACCUGAAGAGCCCCAAAUAGGACGAAACGCGCGUCCUGGAU